Molecule: ribosomal RNA, 253 nt
Filed under: uncultured bacterium
Lineage: Bacteria
Description: partial 16S ribosomal RNA
Rfam family: Bacterial small subunit ribosomal RNA
Source: RNAcentral
UACGUAGGGUGCAAGCGUUAAUCGGAAUUACUGGGCGUAAAGCGUGCGCAGGCGGUUCGCUAAGACCGAUGUGAAAUCCCCGGGCUUAACCUGGGAACCGCAUUGGUGACUGGCGGGCUAGAGUAUGGCAGAGGGGGGUAGAAUUCCACGUGUAGCAGUGAAAUGCGUAGAGAUGUGGAGGAAUACCGAUGGCGAAGGCAGCCCCCUGGGCCAAUACUGACGCUCAUGCACGAAAGCGUGGGGAGCAAACAGG